This 253-nucleotide ribosomal RNA is filed under the name uncultured bacterium. RNAcentral describes it as "partial 16S ribosomal RNA". It matches the Rfam family "Bacterial small subunit ribosomal RNA", at positions 524 to 776 of the family's 1533-position model. The record is from RNAcentral.
UACGUAGGGUGCAAGCGUUAAUCGGAAUUACUGGGCGUAAAGCGUGCGCAGGCGGUUUUGUAAGUCUGAUGUGAAAUCCCCGGGCUCAACCUGGGAAUGGCAUUGGUGACUGCACGGCUAGAGUGUGUCAGAGGGGGGUAGAAUUCCACGUGUAGCAGUGAAAUGCGUAGAGAUGUGGAGGAACACCGAUGGCGAAGGCAGCCCCCUGGGUCAAGAUUGACGCUCAUGCACGAAAGCGUGGGGAGCAAACAGG